RNAcentral lists this ribosomal RNA (253 nucleotides) under uncultured bacterium. RNAcentral describes it as "partial 16S ribosomal RNA". It matches the Rfam family "Bacterial small subunit ribosomal RNA", at positions 524 to 776 of the family's 1533-position model. The record is from RNAcentral.
UACAGAGGGGGCAAGCGUUAUUCGGAAUUAUUGGGCGUAAAGGGCGCGUAGGCGGCUUGGCAAGUGGAUGGUGAAAUCCCUCGGCUUAACCGAGGAACUGCCGUCCAAACUGCUUUGCUUGAGACCGGGAGAGGUGAGUGGAAUUCCCAGUGUAGCGGUGAAAUGCGUAGAUAUUGGGAGGAACACCAGUGGCGAAGGCGGCUCACUGGACCGGUACUGACGCUGAUGCGCGAAAGCGUGGGGAGCAAACAGG